RNAcentral lists this ribosomal RNA (253 nucleotides) under uncultured bacterium. Its description in RNAcentral is "partial 16S ribosomal RNA". It matches the Rfam family "Bacterial small subunit ribosomal RNA", at positions 524 to 776 of the family's 1533-position model. The record is from RNAcentral.
UACGUAGGGGGCAAGCGUUGUCCGGAUUUAUUGGGCGUAAAGAGCGUGUAGGCGGCCUGAAAGGUCAGCUGUGAAAACUCGAGGCUCAACCUCGAGACGUCGGUUGAAACCAUCUGGCUAGAGUCCGGAAGAGGAGUGUGGAAUUCCCGGUGUAGCGGUGAAAUGCGCAGAUAUCGGGAGGAACACCUGUGGCGAAGGCGGCCCCCUGGUUGGAUACUGACGCUGAUACGCGAAAGCGUGGGGAGCAAACAGG